RNAcentral lists this ribosomal RNA (466 nucleotides) under uncultured bacterium. Its description in RNAcentral is "partial 16S ribosomal RNA". It matches the Rfam family "Bacterial small subunit ribosomal RNA", at positions 28 to 507 of the family's 1533-position model. The record is from RNAcentral.
GACGAACGCUGGCGGCGUGCUUAACACAUGCAAGUCGAACGGAAAGGCCCUGCUUGCAGGGUACUCGAGUGGCGAACGGGUGAGUAACACGUGGGUGAUCUGCCCUGCACUUCGGGAUAAGCUUGGGAAACUGGGUCUAAUACCGGAUAGGAACCAUCUUUAGUGUGGUGGUUGGAAAGUUUUUUCGGUGUAGGAUGAGCUCGCGGCCUAUCAGCUUGUUGGUGGGGUAAUGGCCUACCAAGGCGGCGACGGGUAGCCGGCCUGAGAGGGUGUACGGCCACAUUGGGACUGAGAUACGGCCCAGACUCCUAAGGGAGGCAGCAGUGGGGAAUAUUGCACAAUGGGCGCAAGCCUGAUGCAGCGACGCCGCGUGGGGGAUGAAGGCCUUCGGGUUGUAAACUCCUUUCGCUAGGGACGAAGCUUUGUUGUGACGGUACCUAGAUAAGAAGCACCGGCUAACUACGUG